This 304-nucleotide ribosomal RNA is filed under the name Gammarus cf. balcanicus GcfBAL19f. RNAcentral's name for it is "partial 16S ribosomal RNA". The record is from RNAcentral. Lineage: Eukaryota; Metazoa; Arthropoda; Malacostraca; Amphipoda; Gammaridae.
UUUUAACGGCUGCGGUAUUUUGACUGUGCUAAGGUAGCAUAAUCAUUUGUUAUUUAAUUGAUAGCUGGAAUGAAAGGUUAAACUAGCUUAUUAGGUUUGUAAAAUUAUACAAGAAAUUAAAGUUAAGGUAAGAAUUCUUUAAUUUUCUAGGGGACGAUAAGACCCUAGAAGCUUGACGAGUUGGGAUUUUGGUUUGUUUUAGAAAUUUAUUCGUUUUACUGGGGUGGUAAAAAUAAGUAAGCUAUUUGUAUACUUAAAGGAUCCUUAAAAUAAAGAAAAAAUGGAAAAGUUACUCUAGGGAUAA